UAAAGAUUCAUCGCUGAUAGAUAGGCAUGCGUUCCAUUAGGCAGUUGGCGGGGUAACGGCCCACCAAACCGACGAUGGAUAGGGGUUCUGAGAGGAAGGUCCCCCACAUUGGUACUGAGACACGGACCAAACUCCUACGGGAGGCAGCAGUGAGGAAUAUUGGUCAAUGGGCGUAAGCCUGAACCAGCCAAGUCGCGUGAGGGAUGAAGGUUCUAUGGAUCGUAAACCUCUUUUAUAAGGGAAUAAAGUGUGGGACGUGUCCUAUUUUGUAUGUACCUUAUGAAUAAGGAUCGGCUAACUCCGUGCCAGCAGCCGCGGUAAUACGGAGGAUCCGAGCGUUAUCCGGAUUUAUUGGGUUUAAAGGGUGCGUAGGCGGCCUUUUAAGUCAGCGGUGAAAGUCUGUGGCUCAACCAUAGAAUUGCCGUUGAAACUGGGGGGCUUGAGUAUGUUUGAGGCAGGCGGAAUGCGUGGUGUAGCGGUGAAAUGCUUAGAUAUCACGCAGAACCCCGAUUGCGAAGGCAGCCUGCCAAGCCAUGACUGACGCUGAUGCACGAAAGCGUGGGGAUCAAACAGGAUUAGAUACCCUGGUAGUCCACGCAGU
Molecule: ribosomal RNA, 601 nt
Filed under: uncultured bacterium
Lineage: Bacteria
Description: bacterial SSU rRNA
Rfam family: Bacterial small subunit ribosomal RNA
Source: RNAcentral